CUUUGGGAGGCUGGGGAGGGCAGAUCUCUUAAGCUCAGGAGUUUGAGACCAGCCUGGGCAACAUGGUGAAACCCCAUCUCCACUAAAAACAUGAAAAUUAGCUGGGUGUGGUGGUGGGCGCCUGUAAUCCCAGCUACUUGGGAGGCCAAGGCAGAAAAAUUGCUCAAACCCAGGGGGCAUAGGUUGCAGUGAGCCAGGAUCACGCCACUGAACUCCAGCCUGGGCAACAGAGUGAAACUCUGUCUCAAAACAAACAAAAAACAAAAACCAAACAAAACUAGCUGAGCGCAGUGGCACGUGCCUGUAGUCCCAGCUACCUCAGAAGCUGGGGUGGAAGGACCACUUCAGCCUGGGAGGUCAAGGCUGCACUGAGCCAUGAUCGCACCACUGCACUCCCGCCUGGGUGACAGAGUGAGAUCCUGUCUAAAAAAAAAAAAAAGGGUUGAAGUUGUCAUAAUCAUAACGGGUUGAUGUCAAGGGCAGUAGCUACUCAACCCUUGUUAAAGCUUGCCUUACUUGGUUCUUUUUAUCCAUCAUUCCCUGGCUUUCCUCCUGCCUCUCUGGACAUUCCUUUUAGGUUUCCUGUAUAUUGUUUUGUUCAACCAGUUCUGUUAGUAUGAGUGUACCUCAGAUCUGCAUCCCUGUCCCACUUCUAACUUUACAUGUUUUCUCUGGACAGUCUUAUCUAUGUCUACGGUUUUAAAGUCUCCAUUUUGAGAUGCCCUCAAUCUGUAUGUCAAGUGUAGGUUUUGAUUUCUGCUCCAUUCUGAAACAAUCCCUGCCAUUUAGAUAAUUCUACUUGAAUUUUUCACUGACACCUCAACUGCAAAUUUUAAAAAAUCCAAAUGACAGAAUGAAGUAUAUAAGAAAUAUACUUAUGACAGUAGGAGUCAGCAAGGCUUUUCUUAAGUCUUAGCACACAUGAGCCAAAUGGAGAAGAUGAAAAAAUUUGCCUCCAUCAAAAUUAAUAACAUAAACAAGAGACUAAAAAAUAUAUAGGUGACAUAAAAGAGAUAGAGGAUUAGGGUCUAAUAUAUGUGUGCGUAUGUAUGUAUGUAUGUAUAUGUACAUGUAUAUAUAUACACACUCAAAGAGCUAAAGGAGCCAGGCACGAAGGCACAUGCCUAUACUCUCAGCUACUUGGGAGGCUGAGGUGGGAGGACUGCUUGAGCUCAGGAGUUUGAAACUGCAGUGAGCCCUGAUCACCACUGCUCUCCAGCCUGGGUGAAAAUGAGACCUUUUCUCAAAAAAAAAAAAAAAAAAAAAAAAAGCUAGAGGAAAACAUGGACCAAAAACUCAAGGAAAUAAGAAAAAUGAUAUAUGAAUAAAAUAAAAAUAUGAACAAAGAGAUGUAAAUUACAAAAAGGAAGUAGGCCAGGUGCGGUGGCUCACGCCUGUAAUCCCAGCACUUUGGGAGGCCAAGGUGGGUGGAUUACCUGAGGUCAGGAGUUCGAGACCAGCCUGGCCAACAUGGUGAAGCCCCAACUCUACUAAAAAUAUAAAAUUAGCCGAGUGUGGUGGUGCACUCUUGUAAUCCCAGCUACUCAGGAGGCUGAGGCAGGAGAAUUGCUUGAAUCCGGGAGGCAGAGUUUGCACUGAGCCAAGAUUGAACCACUGCACUCCAGCCUGGGUGACAAGUGCAAGACUCCAUCUCAAAAAAAAAAAAAAAAAAAAAAAAGAGGAAGUAUUAGACAUUCUGGAGCUGAAAAAUACAAUAACGGAAAUUAUGAAUUCACAAAAAGAGUUUAACAGUAUAUUUGAGCAGGUAGAGGAAAGAAUCAGAAAACUUGUAGAUAGGACACUAGAAAUUAACAGGUCUAAGAAACAGAAAGAAAAAAGAAGAAAAGCAAGUAGAACUUAAGGAACUUCUGGUACACCAUAAGAUGGACCAAUAUGCACAUUAAAAGAAGAUUCCAGAAGAAGAAGAGAUAAGGGUGUAGAGGGAUUACUUGUGAAAAAUUAAAGCUGGAAAUGUCUCGAGUUUGAGGAGAGACCUAACAUUACAAAUCCAAACAGCUCAGUGAACUUUAAGUGAGAUAAACCCAAAGAGAGCCACACCAAAACAUAUUAUAAUUAAACUGUUGAAAGUCAAAGCCAAAGAGAGAAUCUUGAAAGCAGCAAGGGAGAAGUGACUCAUCAAAUACAAAGAAUCCUCAAUAAAUUAUAGGCUGAUUUCUCAGUAGAAACCUUGGAGACCAGAAAGGAAUGAAAUGAUAUUUGAAGUGCUGAAAGAAAAAAAAAAAUCUGUCUGCCAAGAAUACUCUACCCAGUACAAAUGUACUUCAAAAAUGAGGGAGAAAUUAAUACAUUCCUAGGUAAACAAAAGCUAAUGGAUUUCUGUACCACUAGACCUGCCCUAUAAAAAAUGCUAAAUGGAGUCCUUCGAGUUGAAAUGAAAGGAUGCUGAACUCAGAGCCAUACAAAGAUAUAAGUUCCUUAAAGGUAAAGGUAAAUACAUAGUCAAAUAUAAAAACCAAUAUUAUUGUAAUUUUGGUUCAUAACAGUUUUCAGCUUCUGUGAGAUUUAAAAGACAAAUAAAUAAAAAAUAAUUAUAAAUGUAGGUUAAUGUGUACACAAUAUAUAAAUAUGUAAUUUGUAACAAUAACAAACUUGAAGGGGGUGGAGCUGUAAAGGAGUAGAGUUUUUGUAUGCAAUUGAAGUUAUUACCAAUUUAAAAUAGAUUGUUAUAACUUUAAGAAGUAAUUUUCAUAGUAACCACAAAUAAAAUAUCUAUAGAAUAUACACAAAUGGAAAUGAGAAGAGAAUCAAGACAUGUGACUACAAAAAAAAUCAACUAAAUCUGGCCAGGCAUGGUGGCUCACACCUGUAAUCCCAGCACUUUGGGAAGCUGAGAUGGGUGGAUCCCCUGAGGUCAGGAGGGCCAACAUGGUGAAACCAGUCUCUACUAAAAUUACAAAAAUUAGCUGGGCAUGGUGGUGUAUGCCUGUAAUCCCAGCUACUCAGGAGGCUGAGGCAGGAGAAUCGCUUGAACCCAGGGGGUGGAUAUUGCAGUGAACUGGGAUCUUGCCACUGCACUCCAGCCUGGGCAAUAGCAAGACUCUGACCAAAACACAAACACACACACACACACACACACACACACACACACACACACACACACACAUCCAAAGGAAGGCAGUAAUGGAGGAAAUGAGGGGGGAAAAAACUGUAAGGCACACAGAAAUAACAAGAUGGCAAGAGUAAAUUUUUUCCUAUUAAUAAUUAGUUUAAAUAGACUAAACUUUUUAGUCAAAAGGUAUAGAUUGGUAGAAUGGAUAAAUAAAAUAUGAUCUAACUCUAUGCCCUCAACAAGAAGCUCUGCUUUAUAUCUAAGGACACAAAUGGUUGAAGAUGAAAGAAUGGAAAAAGAUAUUCCAUGUAAAUAUUAUUAUUAACCAAAAGAGAACAGGGAUGGAUAUACUAUUAUACAAAAUGAAGUUUACAUUAAAAAUGAUUACAAGAGACAAGGAAGGACAUUGUAUAAUGUUAAAAGGGUCAAUUCACCAAGAAGACAUAACAAUUAUAGACAUACAUGCACCCAAAAUCAUAGCUCCAAAACACACAAAACAAACAGACUUGAAUGGAGAAAUAGACAGCUCUACAAUAAUAGUUGGAGACUUCAACCCCACUUCCAGACAGAAGAUCAGUGAGGAAAUAGAGGACUUGAACAACACUAUAAACCAAUUGGACCUAAUAGACAUAUACAGAACACUUCUCUCAACAAUAGUAGAAGAUACAUUUUUCUCAAGUGUUUAUGAAACAUUUUCUAAGAUAGACCACAUGUUAUGUCAUGAAACAAGUCUUAUUAAGAUGUUAAAUUGUAUAUAUUUAAAAAGACAGAAAUCACACAAAGUAUUUUUUUCUAAACACAGUUGAAUGAAAUUAGAAAUCAAUAACAAAAGGGAAACUAGAAAAUGUACAAAUGUGUGAACCUAUAGCCAUACCACCCUGAACACACCAAAUCUCAUCUGAUCUCCAAAGCUGAACAGGGUUGAGCCUAGUUAGUACUUGGAUGAGGAAACUUACAAGUGUGGGAAAAUUAAACAAUACACUCCUAAACAACCGGUAGGUGAAAAAAGAAAUCACAAAGGAAACUAGGGAAUGUCUUGACAUAAAUAAAAUGAAAAUAAAUAAACCAAAACUUGUGGGGUGCAGCAAUACCAGUACUAGGAGAGAGGAACUUAUAGCUCUGAAUGUUUACAUUGAAAAAGAAGAACAAUCUCAAAUCAACAACCUAACUUUAAACCAUAAGGAACUAGAAAAAGAAGGACAAAAUAAAGCCAAAGCUAACAUAAGGAAGAAAAUUACAUAGAUUAAUGUAGAGACAAAUAAAAUAGAGAAUAGAGAAAUAAUACAGAAAAAUAAGCAAAACCAAAAGUUUAUUUUUUGAAAAAAUGCACAAAAUUGACAAAGCUUUAAUUAAUUGACUAAGAAAAAAGAGAUGACUUACAUUACUCAAAACAGAAAGUGGGAGGUAUUGCUACUGAUUAUAUAUAAAUAAGAAGGAUUAUAAGAGAAUGCUAUGAAAAGUUGUAUGCCAACAAGUUGGAUAGUCUAGGUAAAUAGACAAAAUGAAAAAAAUUUCUAGAAACACACAACCUACCAAGACUGAAUCAUGAAGAAACAGAAAAUCAAAAUAGACUCCUAACUAAUAAGGAGACGCAAUCAGUAGUUAAAAACUUUCCAAGAAACAAACUCUAUAGACCAGAAAGCUUCACUAGUGAAUUCAAACAAACAAUUAAAGAAGAAAUAACACCAGUCCUUCUCAAAUUCUUCACAGAAUACUUCCUACGUAAUUUUAUAAGGCCAAUAUUACCCUGAAACCAAAGCCAAAGAUGCUACAAGAAAACUACAGACCAGUAUCAAUAAUAUUCUUGUAAAAAUCUUCAAUACUACCAAGCUAAAUUCAGCAGUAUAUUAAAAAAAUUAUAAACCAUGCCAAAGUGGAAUGUAUUCCCAGAAUGUCAGGUUGUUCAACAUACAAAGCUCAAUAGUAUAACAUACCUGGAAUUACAGUGAAGAAUAAACAAUAACACAUGAUUAUCUCAACUGAUUAGACAAAUUCGACACCUUUUCAUGACAAAAAUACUCUAGAAAUAGAAGAAAACUAUUUAAUAAAGGCUAUGUGUGAAAAGCGUUUAGCUAACAUCGUACUCAAAAGACUGAAAUCUUCUCUUUUAUGAUCAUAAAAACAAGACAAGCAUUCUGCUCUUACUACUCUUAUUCAAUAUAGUAUUUGAAGUUCUAGACAGAGCAAUUAGGCAAGAAAAAUAAAAGCAUCCAUAUUAGAAAGGAAAAAGUAAAAUUAACUCUGUUUGCAGAUGGCAUAAUCUCACAUAUAUAAAAGCCUAAAUAUUUCACACACACAAAAACUUAGAAUAAACGAAUUCAGCAAAGUUUCAGGAUACAAAAUUGACAGACAAAAGUCAGCUGUAUUUCUAAAGAACGAUGAAACUCCAAAAAUGGAAUUAAGAAAACAAUUCCAUUUACUAUAGCAACAAAAAGAGCAAAAUAUUUAGGAAGAAACUUAAUAAAGGCAGCAAAAGACUUUUACAGUGAAAACUAUGAAGUAUUGCUGAAAGUAAUUAAAGACAUAGAUAAAUGGAAAAACAUCCAGUGUUCAUAGAAGACUUCAUAGUAUUAAGAUGUUUCUGAAAGUGAUUUACAGUUUCAAAACAAAUCCCUAUAAAUAUUCCAAUGAUUUUUUAUUAUUUGCAGAAAUAGAAAAACCAUCCCAAAAUUCAUAUGGAAUCUAAAGAGGCCCUGAAUAGCCAAAACUAUCUUGGAAAAGAAGAACAAAGUUGAAGACCUUACACUUCCUGAUUUCAAAACCUACUACAAAACUAUGGUAAUCAAAAGGGUGGUAACGGCAUAAAGACAGACAUAUAGAUAAAUGGAAUAAAGAGCCAAGAAAUGAACUCUCAUAUAUAUGGUCAGAUGAUUUUCAGUGAGGGUUCCAAGACCAUGCAAUGAGGAAAGAAUAGUCUUUUAAACUAAUUGUUUUGGAAAAACUGGAUAUCCUUUGCAAAAUAAUGAAAUUGGACCCUUACCUUAUACUAUAUACAAAUUAACUCCAAAAAGGAUCAAAGACCUAAAUGUAAGAGCUAAAACUAUAAAACUCUUAAGAGAAAAAAAAAAAACUUCAAGACAUUGGAUUUGGCAAUGAUUUCUAUUUGACAUCAAAAAGCACAGGCAACAGAAAAAAAUUGAUAAAUUGAACUUAAUGAAAAUUAAACACUUUUGUGCAAAAGAAACUAUGAACAGAAUGAAAAUGCAAAUCAUAGAAGAGGAAAAAUAUAUGCAAAUACUGUAUCUAGUAAGGAAUUAAUAUCAAUAAUAUAUUUUAAAAACUCUUAUAACUCAACAAAAAAGCAACCUGAUUUUUAAAAUGGGCAAAAGACUUGCUUGAAUAGACAUUUUUCCAAAGAAUAUAUAUGAAUGAUCAUUAAGCACACACAAAAAACCCUCAACAUCACUAAUCAUUAGGGAAAUACAAAUCCAAACGACGAUGGGAUACCACUUUACACCAUUUAGGAUGGCUAUUUCCAAAUAAAUAAAUAACAAGGAUGUGGAGAAACUGGAAAUCUUGUGGAUUGCUGGUAGGAAUGUAAAACAGGACAGCCAUUGCAGAAGACUGAACAGCAGUUCCUCAAAAAAGUAAAUGUAAAAUCUCCACAUGAUUGAGUAAUUUCACUCCUACUUAUUCAUCCAGAGAAACUGGAAACAGACUUGAACAGAUACUUGUGCACCAAUAUUCAUAGCAAUAUUUUGUACACCAAUAUUCCUAGCAAUAUUAUGCACAGUAGCCAAGAAAUAGUAACCCAAAUGUUCAUCAAUGGGUGAAUGGAUAAAGAAAAUGUGGUCAGUAUGUACAAUGAAAUAUUUUUCAGCCUUCAAAAGAAAAUUCUGUUAUAGGCUACAACAUAGAUGAAGCUUGAACACAUUAUGCUAAAUGAAAUCAGCCAACAUCAAAGGACAAAUACUGUAUGAUUCCACUUAUAUGAGGUAACUGGAGUAGUCAAAUUC
This 7026-nucleotide long non-coding RNA is filed under the name Homo sapiens (human). The record is from RNAcentral. Lineage: Eukaryota; Metazoa; Chordata; Mammalia; Primates; Hominidae.